AGACUAGAGUACAGCAGAGGGACGUGGAAUUCCCGGAGUAGCGGUGAAAUGCGCAGAUAUCGGGAAGAACACCGGUGGCGAAGGCGAGGUCCUGGCCAGGGACUGACGCUGAGGCGCGAAAGCUAGGGGAGCGAACAGGAUUAGAGACCCUGGUAGUCCUAGCCCUAAACGAUGGAUGCUAGGUGUGGGACGUAAAGUUCCGUGCCGGAGCCAACGCGAUAAGCAUCCCGCCUGGGGACUACGGUCGCAAGGCUAAAACUCAAACGAAUUGACGGGGACCCGCACAAGCAGCGGAGCGUGUGGUUCAAUUCGAUGCUACACGAAGAACCUUACCUGGGUUUGACAUGUACGUGGUAGAGAAGCGAAAGCGGAUUGACCCUUCGGGGAGCGUACACAGGUGCUGCAUGGCUGUCGUCAGCUCGUGCCGUGAGGUGUCGGGUUAAGUCCCGUAACGAGCGCAACCCUUAUCCUUAGUUGCACGUAUCUAGGGAGACUGCCGGCGGGAAGCCGGAGGAAGGUGGGGAUGACGUCAAGUCAGCAUGGCCCUUAUGUCCAGGGCUACACACACGCUACAAUGGCCGGUACAAAGGGCAGCAAAGUCGCGAGGCGGAGCGAAUCCCAACAAAGCCGGUCGUAGUUCGGAUUGCAGGCUGCAACUCGCCUGCAUGAAGCUGGAGUUGCUAGUAACCGCGCGUCAGCUAUAGUGCGGUGAAUACGUACCCGGGUCUUGUACACACCGCCCGUCACGUCAUGGAAGUCGGUAACGCCUGAAGGCGGUAGCCUAGCUCGGAAGAGGGGGCGCUGUCGAAGGCGGGACUGGCAACUGGGACGAAGUCGUA
This 839-nucleotide ribosomal RNA is filed under the name uncultured organism. RNAcentral's name for it is "bacterial SSU rRNA". It matches the Rfam family "Bacterial small subunit ribosomal RNA", at positions 638 to 1490 of the family's 1533-position model. The record is from RNAcentral.